GCGGUUGUGGCUCAGUUGGUAGAGCGCCACCUUGCCAAGGUGGAGGUCGCCGGUUCGAACCCGGUCAACCGCUC
This 74-nucleotide transfer RNA is filed under the name Actinoplanes sp. NBRC 103695. RNAcentral describes it as "tRNA-Gly". It matches the Rfam family "tRNA". From Rfam's summary of the family: Transfer RNA (tRNA) molecules are approximately 80 nucleotides in length. Their secondary structure includes four short double-helical elements and three loops (D, anti-codon, and T loops). Further hydrogen bonds mediate the characteristic L-shaped molecular structure. tRNAs have two regions of fundamental functional importance: the anti-codon, which is responsible for specific mRNA codon recognition, and the 3' end, to which the tRNAs corresponding amino acid is attached (by aminoacyl-tRNA synthetases). tRNAs cope with the degeneracy of the genetic code in two manners: having more than one tRNA (with a specific anti-codon) for a particular amino acid; and 'wobble' base-pairing, i.e. permitting non-standard base-pairing at the 3rd anti-codon position. Lineage: Bacteria; Bacillati; Actinomycetota; Actinomycetes; Micromonosporales; Micromonosporaceae. The record is from RNAcentral.